AGCGUUCAGAGAUGUGAUAGCAGGUUGCAUUCAGAAAUGUGAUAGCAGGAUGUGUUCAGAGACGUGACAGCAGGUUACAUUCAGAAAUGUGAUUGCAGGAUGCGUUCAGAGACGUGACAGCAGGUUGCGUUCAGAGAUGUGAUAACAGGUUCCGUUCAGAGACGUGACAGCAGGUUGCAUUCAGAAAUGUGAUAGCAGGACGCGUUCAGAGACGUGACAGCAGGUUGCGUUCAGAGACGUGAUAGUAGGUUGCGUUCAGAAAUGUGAUAGCAGGUUGCGUUCAGAGACGUUACAGCAAGUUGCAACUUGCAUUCAGAAAUGUGAUAGCAGGAUGCGUUCAGAGAUGUGAUAGCAGGUUCCGUUCAGAGAUGUGGUAGCAGGUUGCGUUCAGAGACACCAGUGUUUGUGUUGUGUUUGUCUCUGUUGCAAAAUGACAGAUGGAUUUUUUUUCUCUCUGGGCUGGCAGUGCCAGCGAACUUUGAUUUGUUUUUGGAUUUAAGGAUUUUGGGUGUUUGUUUCAUCUUUUGUUUCUGUGACAAAAAAGGAUGUUUGGGUAGUAGGGAUGG
RNAcentral lists this long non-coding RNA (566 nucleotides) under Salmo salar (Atlantic salmon). RNAcentral's name for it is "lncRNA (ENSSSAG00000100600.1)". The record is from RNAcentral. Lineage: Eukaryota; Metazoa; Chordata; Actinopteri; Salmoniformes; Salmonidae.